RNAcentral lists this long non-coding RNA (602 nucleotides) under Zostera marina. RNAcentral describes it as "long non-coding RNA (ZMAR_LNC005138)". The record is from RNAcentral. Lineage: Eukaryota; Viridiplantae; Streptophyta; Magnoliopsida; Alismatales; Zosteraceae.
AUAUUUAUAUAAAAUGAAUUAAGAAAUUAAAAAAUACCCAAAAUUUGAUUUUGGUGACUUGUUAGUUGUUGCAACCAUUUGCAGUUUCUUUAAAUGGAUAGUGAGAAUUUGGUUAAUGAAUUAAUAGAUGAUAAAGCAUGAAAUUGGUUCUAAAAUACAUACAUAUUUUGCUAAAAAAAUUUAACAAAAAUGGAGAUUAAAAAACAAAACAAAACAAAAAUUACACACUACUCCACCCAGUGGCUCAUGUCUCAAAUAACCGUAGAUCGUUCGAAUCGAUCUUUAUUCUCUUCUUCUGUGGUGAAUGAAGGAUGAAUUAGAGCUCAACCUUCGUACUUAUAUCAACAAUUUUGCUCCUUCCAUGCUCCACCUUGCAUAAGCACACUCGAUUGACUGAUUGUUCCUGUUAUUCUAAUUCGAUAAUUUCCUGCAUCAACAUAUGUUUCAUUUUUUGUGUUUUAUGCAUGUAAAACUAUGCAUAAAUUGAUCUUCAAAAAAAAUAGUUAGAUAAGACUUACAAUAGGGAUUACAACCAAAAGAUCCAAUUAAUUCAGUAUGGAAACGACUAUCUUGCAAAUGGAGCCGUUACAUCUUCACAAAUG